RNAcentral lists this transfer RNA (71 nucleotides) under Omnitrophica bacterium RIFOXYB12_FULL_50_7. Its description in RNAcentral is "tRNA-Gly". It matches the Rfam family "tRNA". From Rfam's summary of the family: Transfer RNA (tRNA) molecules are approximately 80 nucleotides in length. Their secondary structure includes four short double-helical elements and three loops (D, anti-codon, and T loops). Lineage: Bacteria; Pseudomonadati; Candidatus Omnitrophota. RNAcentral also lists the same sequence under 1 other name. The record is from RNAcentral.
GCGGGCAUAGCAUAAUGGUAAUGUCCUAGCCUUCCAAGCUAGUCAUGCGGGUUCGAUUCCCGCUGCCCGCU